RNAcentral lists this transfer RNA (74 nucleotides) under Thiothrix nivea. RNAcentral describes it as "tRNA-Cys". It matches the Rfam family "tRNA". Rfam says of the family: Transfer RNA (tRNA) molecules are approximately 80 nucleotides in length. The record is from RNAcentral. Lineage: Bacteria; Pseudomonadati; Pseudomonadota; Gammaproteobacteria; Thiotrichales; Thiotrichaceae.
GGCUGGGUGGCAGAGUGGUUAUGCAGCGGAUUGCAAAUCCGUCUACGCCGGUUCGAUUCCGACCCUAGCCUCCA